GACGAACGCUGGCGGCGUGCUUAACACAUGCAAGUCGAACGGAAAGGCCCUGCUUUUGUGGGGUGCUCGAGUGGCGAACGGGUGAGUAACACGUGAGUAACCUGCCCUGUACUUUGGGAUAACUUCAGGAAACUGGGGCUAAUACCGGAUAGGAGCUCCUGCUGCAUGGUGGGGGUUGGAAAGUUUCGGCGGUUGGGGAUGGACUCGCGGCUUAUCAGCUUGUUGGUUGGGUAGUGGCUUACCAAGGCUUUGACGGGUAGCCGGCCUGAGAGGGUGACCGGCCACAUUGGGACUGCGGUACGGACCAGACUCCUACGGGAGGCAGCAGUAGGGAAUAUUGCACAAUGGGCGGAAGCCUGAUGCAGCAACGCCGCGUGCGGGAUGACGGCCUUCGGGUUGUAAACCGCUUUAGCCUGUGACGAAGCGUGAGUGACGGUAAUGGGUAAAGAAGCACCGGCUAACUACGUG
RNAcentral lists this ribosomal RNA (468 nucleotides) under uncultured bacterium. RNAcentral describes it as "partial 16S ribosomal RNA". It matches the Rfam family "Bacterial small subunit ribosomal RNA", at positions 28 to 507 of the family's 1533-position model. The record is from RNAcentral.